GCCCCGUCUAAAUAUAAACCUUCAAAUGGUAUAUAACUGUAUACAGAAAGGAACUUCUUCACAAAGGAACCAGAACUCGGCGAAAACAGUUGCAAGAGAUACUUUAGACGUAAAGAAGAAUUAAAGAAACAAAAAAACGUAUCGAAUUUUCUGUUAUAAGAACUACUUUUUUACAGAUAAUAAGAAGAACAAGGUUCGAUAGAAUGGCUUCCACAAAAGUUGUCUUUUUAUUGGUCUGUUUAGUUCUGUUAGCUGUCCUGGAAACUGGACAAUGCCAGAGGCGGAAGAGAUUAUGUAGAAUGAACAGAGCUAAAGGCACAUGUGGAGAAAUUAUGCAAAGAGCUGGCGGCGCUGGUGUUCCGGCAGUUGGAAGGUGUGCCCAGAAAGAUGGCACGUGCGAAACUCUGCAGAUAAGGGGGAGAACAAGGUGUAUUUGUGCAAUCAUAUUUGAUGUUUAGAUGUAUAGGUCAAGCUAAGAAUAAAUAUUUGCAGCAUAGAUGAUGAAAACAAUAUAUCCUUUAAUACUACGGCUCAAGCUUUAAAGUGAAGGAACAGAUCCUCUGACGUAUGCAAGCCUAAUUUUCAUGUUAAAGCCGUAGCAGAAAAUGUUCAAUUAGCAUAAAAACUUCUUUUUUCCACUGGAACCGCAAAUGCAAUAACGGGAUUAACAAGGCAGUUCACGUGUUGUUAAUACAUGAUUUUUUUUUUAUUUGAAAUGCUGACCAACACAUUCUUUUUAUACCAGCAACUUGGGAUUGAACGAGAUACAUUCUGAAAAAAAGACAUAUUAGGCCUACAGACACAGUCUGUUCAACCUUUCAACGGAAUAUACCAUUUUCUUUUAUGUAAAGGUAUGCGAGUUACAUAUUACUUUAACAUACACACAUAUCAUGUGCUAUUUCAUGCGAUCCUUUAUUUAUUAUAACUGUACAGUUGUUAUGCGGAUAUAGGUAUGAACCUCUUUAUUGUGCAAGCAUUAUAUUGUCAUAUCCUAAACGUCCCGUCCGGACACAGGCCCAUUAGAUCGUUUACAUGAUUAAAUGUUUGUUUUGUAUUUCAUAUGCUCAAUAUCGUUAAAUGCCUUUAUGUGUAUAUAUUUCAGUCUGUUAUUUGUCAUUAUUUUUACUUACCAAUGGGAUUUUCCCACAUGAGUUUGUUCUUAUUUCAGCGUUAUUAUUGUCAUUUGAUAUGAUCAUGUAUAGCUUACAUGAAACACAUACCAGCUCCUGUUGUUAGUGACUAAUGCAUUUCAUGUUUCAAGUGUUUAUAAGUGUACUGAUAAGUGUAAUAUAUUUGUUAAAUUUACAUUGAUACAUUUAUGUAUGAUAUUUUGCUUUAAAUUAACCAGUGUUUAAACUUCAGAAUAAAAGAUAUAGUUGUUUUUGAAAAAAAA
Molecule: long non-coding RNA, 1393 nt
Organism: Mercenaria mercenaria
Lineage: Eukaryota; Metazoa; Mollusca; Bivalvia; Venerida; Veneridae
Exons: 2
Source: RefSeq, a predicted model, not a curated record